RNAcentral lists this ribosomal RNA (506 nucleotides) under uncultured bacterium. RNAcentral's name for it is "bacterial SSU rRNA". It matches the Rfam family "Bacterial small subunit ribosomal RNA", at positions 501 to 1009 of the family's 1533-position model. The record is from RNAcentral.
CUACGUGCCAGCAGCCGCGGUAAUACGGAAGGUCCAGGCGUUAUCCGGAUUUAUUGGGUUUAAAGGGAGUGUAGGCGGUUUGUUAAGCGUGUUGUGAAAUUUAGGUGCUCAACAUUUAACUUGCAGCGCGAACUGUCAGACUUGAGUACACGCAACGUAUGCGGAAUUCAUGGUGUAGCGGUGAAAUGCUUAGAUAUCAUGAAGAACUCCGAUUGCGAAGGCAGCGUACGGGAGUGUUACUGACGCUUAAGCUCGAAGGUGCGGGUAUCGAACAGGAUUAGAUACCCUGGUAGUCCGCACGGUAAACGAUGGAUGCCCGCUGUUAGCGCCUGGCGUUAGCGGCUAAGCGAAAGCAUUAAGCAUCCCACCUGGGGAGUACGCCGGCAACGGUGAAACUCAAAGGAAUUGACGGGGGCCCGCACAAGCGGAGGAACAUGUGGUUUAAUUCGAUGAUACGCGAGGAACCUUACCCGGGCUUGAAUUGCAGACGCAGGAUACAGAGAUGU